GAGGGUAUAGCUCAGUGGUAGAGUGCAGUGUUUAGCACACAUGAGGUCUUGGGUUCAAUCCCUGGUACCUCCA
RNAcentral lists this transfer RNA (73 nucleotides) under Camelus bactrianus (Bactrian camel). It matches the Rfam family "tRNA". Rfam says of the family: Transfer RNA (tRNA) molecules are approximately 80 nucleotides in length. Their secondary structure includes four short double-helical elements and three loops (D, anti-codon, and T loops). RNAcentral also lists the same sequence under 1 other name. The record is from Rfam by way of RNAcentral. Lineage: Eukaryota; Metazoa; Chordata; Mammalia; Artiodactyla; Camelidae.